RNAcentral lists this ribosomal RNA (59 nucleotides) under Securidaca elliptica. RNAcentral describes it as "partial 26S ribosomal RNA". The record is from RNAcentral. Lineage: Eukaryota; Viridiplantae; Streptophyta; Magnoliopsida; Fabales; Polygalaceae.
GAGCGACCCUAGGUCAGGCAGAACCACCCGCUAAGUUUAAGCAUAUCAAUAAGUGCAGG